Long non-coding RNA from Homo sapiens (human), 2096 nucleotides. The record is from Ensembl. Lineage: Eukaryota; Metazoa; Chordata; Mammalia; Primates; Hominidae.
CCUGGACCACACGCCUUGGGAGAAGUCAGCCACUACGUUGUGAGGACAUGGGGACAGAGGUGGUGAGGCCUACGUGGUGAAGGUCUGAGGCCUCCUGCCAACAGCUGAUGACUGAGCUGCUGCGGAAGCUGACCCUCCACACUCCCUAGGCUCGGUGGCCAGCCCCUUUGCUGGGGUCAGAGCCACAUUCCCAUCUUGCUCCAGGAUGGAUCGCCGGUUCCUUGAAUCCAACACAUGCAACACUGAGCAUGUCACAUCCUCCAGGCCUGCUCCUUCUCAUCUACUCUGGCUCAAACCUGAGGACCCGUCAGACCCUCUCUCCCACUCGUGCCACAUCCAGACAGCACCGGGCCCUGCUGACAUUCUGCUCUCUGUGUCCCUUACAUUUGUCACCUGAUUUCGACUCUCACUGCAACCGGCACUCAUCUGUACCUGGGAAGGGCCACCUCGCCUCUGCCGGUAACCCAACAAGGCCCCAGCUGGCGUCCCAGCUUCCAGAAACCAUCUACCACAGGGCAAGGCUGUGCUUUAAUCAUCUUGGUAACCCAAGUGCUGAUCAGCGAACCAAAUACACACAGAAAUACCUUGCGCCCUGGUUGCUUUUCUGUGCUAGAAUCACUCCAGACUUCAAUCAUCAGCCUGCUACAAGCCACUCCCAAGCCUGGGACUUAAUCGCCAGCAGAAAGCACGUCCACAUGUCCUCUGUUACCUCCUCUAGAUGCUAAGGAAUGUGACUCCAAGAAGAUUCAAAUAGCAGGAUCCUACAGCGUUCUGCCAUCAUCUUAUUCAACAAAAGUCUUCUGUCGGACAAAGACCCAUUCAUAUUUCAUUAUGAAGAUAAGCAUUUUAUGGACAAAUUAUACAGCAAUAUUAAAAUAUACCUGAAACAAUAUCCCAGAUAAUGGAGUUAAUGGCUUUAAUUCGCUAUCACAUGUUUAGAGAGUUCUUGUGUAGACACAAGCUAUGAACUAUGAGAAGGCAGAAGAAAAGUCUAUGCAGAUAUACAGAAGGCUAAAAGACAUACCCUAGAUCCAUCCUGCUCACAGGGGAUUCCACGUCCCAGGGAAGGCGGGGAGGGGUCCCUCCUCCUAAGUCUCCAGAACCUGCCUUCAUGAACGCUGAGAUCAUCUGGAGGGGACCAGACCAGCCCGGGCUGGACCAGGAAAGCCAAGAAUUGUUGCCUUCCCAUAUUCCACAUUCCCAUAUGCCUUCCCAAUGUCCUCUUCCCAAAGAACCCCUGUAUCCUACAUGUUCUAGCACAAGCCUAGAGACAAAUUCUGCCUUGGGUGGGAAUUGGGGUAGCUUAGAAAAGAGUGCCACAUUGGAGGUAACAGAGGAGCUGGUUUUGAGGGACGUGUAGAAGUCCACCAGCUGUUGAAGAUGAGGCCAGGCGUCCUCAGAGGAGAGAACAGAAAGUGCCAAGGCCAGGGGCAGCGGUAAGGAGCACACGGCACACUGGGGAAGAGUCAAAUGCUGGAGCCCAGGGUGUGGGCGGAGCGGUGGGAGAUGAGGACACCCAGAUGGCUUGGGGUCAGGUUCUGAAGAAUGUUGGGUACUAGGCUCGAGUUUGGACUCUAUGGUGGGGGAAAUAGAGAGCCCCUGACAGUCUUUAAAGAGGGGAGAGAUGGAUCAGGCCUGUAGCAUUUCCUCAGGGAGGUUAUAAAGCAGAUACAGAGGUACAGACACAUCUUCUGUGCUUAUUUAUGUCAUGGGGCCUUUGCACAUAGUUGGAGCCAUGAUUUACAUAGCUGUGCUUCCCCAUAGCACUUCCCAUGGUUCACUGCACGCAGCUAACACUCAGCCUAUGUUUGUGGAAUAAAUGAAUGAAAGAGUCAUUAUUAUCAAGUCUCUCCUACAAUCAAGGAUAUACUCCAGUGACUGAUUAUAGCUGCCAAGGCUAUAUGGGCAAUGAACUAAAAACAUUACUCCAACAUGAGAAAGAGGAAUCAGAAAAGCCACGGUGAAUGCUCCAGCUCUGCCAACCACCAUCAGCCCAAGGGGAGAAUGAACACCCAGGGAAAAGAAAAUCGCCAAAACCUUACAGUGAAAUCCUAUCAACACCUUUGAUUUGGUGUCUGUAUCUUUCCUGACUGAUG